RNAcentral lists this transfer RNA (72 nucleotides) under Camelus ferus (Wild Bactrian camel). It matches the Rfam family "tRNA". From Rfam's summary of the family: Transfer RNA (tRNA) molecules are approximately 80 nucleotides in length. The record is from Rfam by way of RNAcentral. Lineage: Eukaryota; Metazoa; Chordata; Mammalia; Artiodactyla; Camelidae.
GGGUGUAGAGCUCAGUGGUAAAGCCUGUGCCUGGCAUGCAUGAGGUUCUGGGUUCAAUCCCCAAUACCUCCA